GAUGAACGCUGGCGGCGUGCCUAAUACAUGCAAGUCGAGCGAACGGACGAGAAGCUUGCUUCUCUGAUGUUAUCGGCGGACGGGUGAGUAACACGUGGAUAACCUACCUAUAAGACUGGGAUAACUUCGGGAAACCGGUGCUAAUACCGGAUAAUAUUUUGAACCGCAUGGUUCAAAAGUGAAAGACGGUCUUGCUGUCACUUAUAGAUGGAUCCGCGCUGCAUUAGCUAGUUGGUAAGGUAACGGCUUACCAAGGCAACGAUGCAUAGCCGACCUGAGAGGGUGAUCGGCCACACUGGAACUGAGACACGGUCCAGACUCCUACGGGAGGCAGCAGUAGGGAAUCUUCCGCAAUGGGCGAAAGCCUGACGGAGCAACGCCGCGUGAGUGAUGAAGGUCUUCGGAUCGUAAAACUCUGUUAUUAGGGAAGAACAUAUGUGUAAGUAACUGUGCACAUCUUGACGGUACCUAAUCAGAAAGCCACGGCUAACUACGUG
This 497-nucleotide ribosomal RNA is filed under the name uncultured bacterium. RNAcentral's name for it is "partial 16S ribosomal RNA". It matches the Rfam family "Bacterial small subunit ribosomal RNA", at positions 28 to 507 of the family's 1533-position model. The record is from RNAcentral.